GGUUGAUCCUGCCAGUAGUCAUAUGCUUGUCUUAAAGAUUAAUCCAUGCAUGUGUAAGUAUAAGUAUUGUGCAGCGAAACUGCGAAUGGCUCAUUACAUCAGUUAUAAUUUAUUUGAUAAUCGAAAGUUACAUGGAUAACCGUGACAAAUUACAGCUAAUACAUGCAGUCAGACCUGGUCCAAGGGUCGUAAUUAUUAGUAUUAAACCAUUUCCGCAAGGAGUGUGAUGAUUCAUAAUAAUCGAACGAAUCGCCUGGUGUGCGAUAAAUCAUUCAAGUUUCUGCCCUAUCAGCUUUGGAUGGUAGUGUAUUGGACUACCAUGGCAGUCACGGGUAACGGAGAAUUAGGGUUCGAUUCCGGAGAGGGAGCCUGAGAAACGGCUACCACAUCUACGGAAGGCAGCAGGAGCGAAAAUUGCCCAAUCCCGACACGGGGAGGCAGUGACGAGAAAUAACAACUCUUGGUUAUUCUAAGAAGUGUAAUGAGGAUAAUUUAAAACCCUUACCGAAAGCAAUUGGAGGGCAAGUCUGGUGCCAGCAGCCGCGGUAAUUCCAGCUCCAAUAGCGUAUAUUAAAGUUGUUGCAGUUAAAAAGCUCGUAGUUGAAGUUCUGGCUGCUCGACCCUCGAGCUCUGUAGCCGGGGGCUCGGCAGUCAUCCGCUUGCAAACAUAUGUUCGCCUUUAACCGGGCGGCUAUGUGAGCAAGCAUUUUACCUUGAGAAAAACAGAGUGUUCCAGGCAGGUUUGUCCGGAAUGCAUUAGCAUGGAAUAAUAGAAUAUGACUGAAGUCGAUUUAUUGGUUUGAGGCUUUAGUAAUGAUUAAUAGGAACAGUCGGGGGCAUUGGUACUUGUCAGUCAGAGGUGAAAUUCUAGGAUUUGACAAAGACUAACAAAUGCGAAAGCAAUUGCCAAGGAUGUUUUCAUUAAUCAAGAACGAAAGUUAGGGGAUCAAAGACGAUCAGAUACCGUCCUAGUCUUAACUAUAAACUAUACCGACUCGGAUUCAGAUGAAUCAUAAAGUUCAUUUGGGACCGUAGGAGAAAUCAAAGUUUUUGGGUUCUGGGGGAAGUAUGGUCGCAAGGCUGAAACUUAAAGGAAUUGACGGUUUUGCACCACCAUGGAGUGGAGUCUGCGGCUUAAUUUGACUCAACACUGGGAAACUCAUCAGGGCAAGAAGAUUGUAGGAUUGACAGAUUGAGAGUUCUUUCUUGAUUGGUCUAGUGGUGGUGCAUGGCCGUUCUUAGUUGGUGGAGUGAUUUGUCUGGUUAAUUCCGUUAACGAACGAGACCUUAACCUGCUAACUAGUAUAUCGAUGACAAAUCGAUAUUACUUCUUAGAGGGACUAUGUGAUGUAAUCACAUGGAAGUUUGAGGCAAUAACAGGUCUGUGAUGCCCUUAGAUGUCCUGAGCUGCACGCGUACUACAAUGGUGCUUUCAACGAGCUUUUCCUGAUCCGAAAGGAUUUGGGUAAUCUUUUUAGUGAGCACCGUGUUUGGGAUAGAUCUUUGUAAUUAUGGAUCUUGAACUAGGAAUUCCUAGUAAGCGCGCGUCAUCAGCGCGUGCUGAUUACGUCCCUGCAAAAUGUACACACCGCCCGUCGCUAUUACCGAUUGAGUGUAAAGGUGAACCUUCUCGAUAGACGCAAGUUUAAAAAUUAAGUAAACCUUUGCACUUAGAGGAAAUAAAAGUCGUAACAAGGUUUCCGUAGGUGAACCUGCAGAAGGAUCAA
Molecule: ribosomal RNA, 1727 nt
Filed under: uncultured ciliate
Lineage: Eukaryota; Ciliophora
Description: SSU rRNA
Rfam family: Eukaryotic small subunit ribosomal RNA
Source: RNAcentral